This 253-nucleotide ribosomal RNA is filed under the name uncultured bacterium. Its description in RNAcentral is "partial 16S ribosomal RNA". It matches the Rfam family "Bacterial small subunit ribosomal RNA", at positions 524 to 776 of the family's 1533-position model. The record is from RNAcentral.
UACAGAGGGUGCGAGCGUUAAUCGGAUUUACUGGGCGUAAAGGGCGCGUAGGCGGUUGUGUGAGUGUGAUGUGAAAGCCCCGGGCUUAACCUGGGAAGUGCAUCGCAAACGACAUAACUGGAGUAUAAGAGAGGGUGGCGGAAUUUCCGGUGUAGCGGUGAAAUGCGUAGAGAUCGGAAGGAACGUCAAUGGCGAAGGCAGCCACCUGGCUUAAUACUGACGCUGAGGCGCGAGAGCGUGGGGAUCAAACAGG